GAACGAAUUUUUGUGUAAGUCGUUCGUAAAGCUGUUCUGACAUAAACUUUCGAAUUCAUGAAAAUGUUUGUAUUUUCUAAAUGUUAGUGAAAGAAAUGUACACCUGCUCCCUAACACAUGCAAAUGGUGCGUAAAACGUUCUGUGUUCUUUUUGGCAAACUGGUGACACUGAAUUUUGAUGCAUAAUAUUCAUAUGUCAUAAUAAUUACAAGUACAUUUGCCUUUGGCCUCUUUUUUUUAUUAUUAUUUUUUUUUUUUAUCUCUCUCUCGAGUUGAUAACUGUAAAACGCAGUGCUCGUCACUGUCACUAUUCUGCUUGUACAACGACUACCUACAACAAUAAAGAAUUCAAUAUUACUGGUUACUGCUUUUUUAUAUUUAGUACAAUUCUUUAAAAUUAGAUAUUAAUACGUUAUCGCAAGCGUCUCAGCUGGAAAAACGCAUUUUUUCAGAUGGCUAAAAACUCUUUGGUGGACACACGUUAUUCAAUAUUUAUUGUUAGGCCUAUUAGUCGUAUUUGCAUUUAUGCACUUUACUGGAGCCAAACCUGAGAAAGUAGAUCAGAAUAUUCCACUGUGGUCCUGGACACGCAUUUUGAGUAGCUGUAAUUUAUAGGCGGGGAUUAUGCUAAUUGUGAAUGAGCGUGCACAAGCGCCCUAUUACCAGUGAUUGGAAUUCAUUAACAUACACGUUUAUGUUAAUGAAAGCUCUUUCUGAUUCUGAGUCUGUUUUACACGCAAAUUACUCAGACUUUACUCAUAUAUUUAUGAAUGUUUCAUGAAUGAGGCCCAUUGUCGGUUAAAUCCAUUUUUUUAUUAUUAUUGUAAGGUAACUUACAGUUAACAGGUUUUACUGUUUUCUGUUUAAGAUGAUACAUAGUCUAUUCUGUGUUAGAAGUAUGUAGACAUUUAAAGCUAAGCAGCAUCUUCAAUGUAUUAUGUUUUAAAGAUUUAAUUUAUACACAGAAUAAUUCCAUGUCAAAUGAUGUUGAAAUCAAAUCCAGCCUUUCAAGUU
Long non-coding RNA from Cyprinus carpio carpio, 1014 nucleotides. The record is from Ensembl. NCBI's taxonomy places the organism in Eukaryota, Metazoa, Chordata, Actinopteri, Cypriniformes, Cyprinidae.